Molecule: ribosomal RNA, 291 nt
Filed under: uncultured bacterium
Lineage: Bacteria
Description: partial 16S ribosomal RNA
Rfam family: Bacterial small subunit ribosomal RNA
Source: RNAcentral
GGAUUAGAUACCCUGGUAGUCCAUGCCGUAAACGUUGGGAACUAGAUGUAGGGACCAUUCCACGGUUUCUGUGUCGCAGCUAACGCAUUAAGUUCCCCGCCUGGGGAGUACGGCCGCAAGGCUAAAACUCAAAGGAAUUGACGGGGGCCCGCACAAGCGGCGGAGCAUGCGGAUUAAUUCGAUGCAACGCGAAGAACCUUACCAAGGCUUGACAUAUACCGGAAAAGUUCAGAAAUGUUCUCCCCGCAAGGUCGGUAUACAGGUGGUGCAUGGUUGUCGUCAGCUCGUGCC